AUGUCAUGAUGAGGACACUUUCUCGAUAUUUCCUUGAACCUCCCCCAAGAGUCAUAUAAAGAUUCCCCCUCAUGCUGGUAAAAAUUAUUGAUCUCCCCCCUUACUUU
This is a small nucleolar RNA of Humulus lupulus (European hop), 107 nucleotides long. The record is from RefSeq and is a predicted model, not a curated record. Lineage: Eukaryota; Viridiplantae; Streptophyta; Magnoliopsida; Rosales; Cannabaceae.